Molecule: transfer RNA, 69 nt
Filed under: Episymploce forficula
Lineage: Eukaryota; Metazoa; Arthropoda; Insecta; Blattodea; Blattellidae
Description: tRNA-Ser
Rfam family: tRNA
About the family: Transfer RNA (tRNA) molecules are approximately 80 nucleotides in length. Their secondary structure includes four short double-helical elements and three loops (D, anti-codon, and T loops). Further hydrogen bonds mediate the characteristic L-shaped molecular structure. tRNAs have two regions of fundamental functional importance: the anti-codon, which is responsible for specific mRNA codon recognition, and the 3' end, to which the tRNAs corresponding amino acid is attached (by aminoacyl-tRNA synthetases). tRNAs cope with the degeneracy of the genetic code in two manners: having more than one tRNA (with a specific anti-codon) for a particular amino acid; and 'wobble' base-pairing, i.e. permitting non-standard base-pairing at the 3rd anti-codon position.
Source: RNAcentral
AGUUAAUAACUUAAUGAAAGUAUUAUGUUUUGAAAGCAUAUUCAAGAGGUUAAAAUCCUCUAUUAACUU